GGGCGAAAGCCUGAUGCAGCAACGCCGCGUGAGCGAUGAAGGCCUUUGGGUCGUAAAGCUCUGUCCUUGGGGAAGAAUAAAUGACGGUACCCUUGGAGGAAGCCCCGGCUAACUACGUGCCAGCAGCCGCGGUAAUACGUAGGGGGCAAGCGUUAUCCGGAAUUAUUGGGCGUAAAGAGUGCGUAGGUGGUUUUGUAAGCGCGGGGUGAAAGGCAAUGGCUCAACCAUUGUAAGCCUUGCGAACUGUAAGACUUGAGUGCAGGAGAGGAAAGUGGAAUUCCUAGUGUAGCGGUGAAAUGCGUAGAUAUUAGGAGGAACACCAGUGGCGAAGGCGACUUUCUGGACUGUAACUGACACUGAGGCACGAAAGCGUGGGGAGCAAACAGGAUUAGAUACCCUGGUAGUCCACGCCGUAAACGAUGAGCACUAGGUGUCGGGGCCGCAAGGUUUCGGUGCCGCAGUUAACGCAUUAAGUGCUCCGCCUGGGGAGUAC
RNAcentral lists this ribosomal RNA (493 nucleotides) under uncultured bacterium. RNAcentral describes it as "bacterial SSU rRNA". It matches the Rfam family "Bacterial small subunit ribosomal RNA", at positions 373 to 883 of the family's 1533-position model. The record is from RNAcentral.